RNAcentral lists this ribosomal RNA (371 nucleotides) under uncultured bacterium. Its description in RNAcentral is "bacterial SSU rRNA". It matches the Rfam family "Bacterial small subunit ribosomal RNA", at positions 527 to 896 of the family's 1533-position model. The record is from RNAcentral.
GUAGGAGGCGAACGUUAUUCGGAUUUACUGGGCGUAAAGGGAGCGUAGGCGGUUCCUUAAGUCGAGUGUGAAAUCUUCUGACUUAAUCAGAAGGGGCCAUUUGAUACUGAGGGACUUGAGAGCAGCAGAGGGAAACGGAAUCUGCAGUGUAGCGGUGAAAUGCGUAGAUAUUGCAGAGAACACCAGUGGCGAAGGCGGUUUUCCAGGCUGUUUCUGACGCUGAGGCUCGAAAGCGUGGGGAGCGAAGCGGAUUAGAUACCCGCGUAGUCCACGCCCUAAACGGUGGACACUAGAUAUAGGAGGUAUCGACCCUUUCUGUGUCGAAGCUAACGCUUUAAGUGUCCCGCCUGGGGAGUACGGCCGCAAGGCUG